UACGGAGGGUGCAAGCAUUAAUCGGAUUUACUGGGUGUAAAGGGCGCGUAGGCGGGUAGUUAAGUCAGAUGUGAAAUUCCGAAGCUCAACUUCGGAGCUGCAUUUGAAACUGACUAUCUUGAGGUUGGACGGAGAAAACGGAAUUCCACGUGUAGCGGUGAAAUGCGUAGAUAUGUGGAAGAACACCGGUGGCGAAAGCGGUUUUCUAGUUUAAUCCUGACGCUGAGGCGCGAAGGCAAGGGUAGCAAACAGG
Molecule: ribosomal RNA, 253 nt
Filed under: uncultured bacterium
Lineage: Bacteria
Description: partial 16S ribosomal RNA
Rfam family: Bacterial small subunit ribosomal RNA
Source: RNAcentral